GACGAACGCUGGCGGCGUGCUUAACACAUGCAAGUCGAACGGAAAGGCCCUGCUUUUGUGGGGUGCUCGAGUGGCGAACGGGUGAGUAACACGUGAGUAACCUGCCCUUGACUUUGGGAUAACUUCAGGAAACUGGGGCUAAUAUCGGAUAGGAGCUCCUGCUGCAUGGUGGGGGAUGGAAAGUGUCGGCGGUUGGGGAUGGACUCGCGGCUUAUCAGCUUGUUGGUGGGGUAGUGGCUUACCAAGGCUUUGAAGGGUAGCCGGCCUGAGAGGGUGACCGGCCACAUUGGGACUGAGAUACGGCCCAGACUCCUACGGGAGGCAGCGGUGGGGAGUAUUGCACAGUGGCCGGAAGCCUGAUGCAGCAACGCCGCGUGCGGGAUGACGGCCUUCGGGUUGUAAACCGCUUUCGCCUGUGACGAGGCGUGAGUGACGGUAAUGGGUAAAGAAGCACCGGCUAACUACGUG
RNAcentral lists this ribosomal RNA (468 nucleotides) under uncultured bacterium. RNAcentral's name for it is "partial 16S ribosomal RNA". It matches the Rfam family "Bacterial small subunit ribosomal RNA", at positions 28 to 507 of the family's 1533-position model. The record is from RNAcentral.